RNAcentral lists this microRNA precursor (75 nucleotides) under Haemonchus placei. RNAcentral describes it as "mir-5928 microRNA precursor family". It matches the Rfam family "mir-5928 microRNA precursor family". Lineage: Eukaryota; Metazoa; Nematoda; Chromadorea; Rhabditida; Trichostrongylidae. The record is from Rfam by way of RNAcentral.
GGCCCAAAUUUGUAGUAGAGUAAAUUAGUAGGAUCGACUCACUCUACUAAGCUACUGUACUUCAAGUUUGUGCCC